GACGAACGCUGGCGGCGUGCCUAAUACAUGCAAGUAGAACGCUGAAGAGAGGAGCUUGCUCUUCUUGGAUGAGUUGCGAACGGGUGAGUAACGCGUAGGUAACCUGCCUUGUAGCGGGGGAUAACUAUUGGAAACGAUAGCUAAUACCGCAUAACAAUGGAUGACACAUGUCAUUUAUUUGAAAGGGGCAAUUGCUCCACUACAAGAUGGACCUGCGUUGUAUUAGCUAGUAGGUGAGGUAAUGGCUCACCUAGGUGACGAUACAUAGCCGACCUGAGAGGGUGAUCGGCCACACUGGGACUGAGACACGGCCCAGACUCCUACGGGAGGCAGCAGUAGGGAAUCUUCGGCAAUGGGGGCAACCCUGACCGAGCAACGCCGCGGGAGUGAAGAAGGGUUUCGGAUCGUAAAGCUCUGUUGUAAGUCAAGAACGGGUGUGAGAGUGGAAAGUUCACACUGUGACGGUAGCUUACCAGAAAGGGACGGCUAACUACGUG
This 497-nucleotide ribosomal RNA is filed under the name uncultured bacterium. Its description in RNAcentral is "partial 16S ribosomal RNA". It matches the Rfam family "Bacterial small subunit ribosomal RNA", at positions 28 to 507 of the family's 1533-position model. The record is from RNAcentral.